RNAcentral lists this ribosomal RNA (414 nucleotides) under uncultured Singulisphaera sp. Its description in RNAcentral is "bacterial SSU rRNA". It matches the Rfam family "Bacterial small subunit ribosomal RNA", at positions 355 to 774 of the family's 1533-position model. The record is from RNAcentral. Lineage: Bacteria; Pseudomonadati; Planctomycetota; Planctomycetia; Isosphaerales; Isosphaeraceae.
UCGAGAAUCUUCGGCAAUGGGCGCAAGCCUGACCGAGCGACGCCGCGUGGAGGAUGAAGGCCUUCGGGUUGUAAACUCCUGUCGAGGGGGAAGAAGGGUCGAAAGACCUUGACUGAUCCCUGGAGGAAGCACGGGCUAAGUUCGUGCCAGCAGCCGCGGUAAGACGAACCGUGCGAACGUUAUUCGGAAUCACUGGGCUUAAAGCGCGUGUAGGCGGGACGGCACGUCGGUCGCUGAAAUCCCCCGGCUUAACCGGGGAACUGGCGUCGAUACGACCGCCCUGGAGGGGCGUAGGGGGACCUGGAACUUCCGGUGGAGCGGUGAAAUGCGUUGAGAUCGGAAGGAACGCCCGUGGCGAAAGCGAGGUCCUGGACGCCUACUGACGCUGAGACGCGAAAGCCAGGGGAGCGAACG